This is a long non-coding RNA of Marmota monax (woodchuck), 994 nucleotides long. RefSeq lists it as uncharacterized. Lineage: Eukaryota; Metazoa; Chordata; Mammalia; Rodentia; Sciuridae. The transcript is spliced from 2 exons. The record is from RefSeq and is a predicted model, not a curated record.
GCCCGGACCCCGCAGACUAUACACUCACCUGCCUACCGGCGCCCGCAACGCGGCCACUGUUGGCUGGAACAGGCCCGUAGGAACAGCCUGCCCGGCUGGGCGGGGCGCACCCCCCCCGCCCCCGACACUGGCGCGGGAGCCGCUGAUUGGCUGUGGUGGGGGCUCUUCCCCGCCCCUAACAGACCUCACCUCCUAGCAGGAGGGGGAAAAGCAGUGCGCACGCACGUCUGGCUGCGGUGCCCGUUCGGAUCUAGCUACGUGAUCCGACGUACGCUGGGGCGGAGCGACUGACUGGCCGCACUGGAUGACGUCACCUGCGGCGAGCCAAAACCUGCGCCUUCGCUGUGGGCACCGUAGGUGCUCUGGGCCCCAGAGCCGAGGCAAACGCGGAAGGUCAGAAUGACGUCUCCAGUGCGUUAUCACUUACCUGUUGAUUCCCAGGUGCUGUAUCCGCUGCACCUGCAGCUUCCGGGUCCCACAGCCUAGUGUUCGCGCGUCUGCUGACGACCAUUGGCGCCUGGGAACCGGGAACCACACCUUAGCAUCGGCACUGCUUCGUUUGUUUUUCCAGGAAACUGCAGCCAGGCGAACUGUUUAAUUGUUCAGUAACGAAAUUUCCCUGAGGACCCAUCCAUUCUUCAAUGGAAAACACAAAUUAUGCCCUAAGAUUCUUUGAGUCCUUUAGCUCAAAAUCUUGCUGUUUGCACCAGUCCUGAAAACGCUGUUAUGGAAGAAUCACCUUAAAUCAAACUUGCACUUCUCCAUAAAUUCUGAAAUUUAUAAAAUUGCCUUCCUGUUUUCAGCCACCGUGAAAGCUUUGCGAGGUUGCAAUUUCCCUUACUGCUGCCAGUAGUAAACUCAGUCUUGUCUUACCAAUAAGUUGUGAAAGGACAAAUACAAACUUAAAAUAUGAGACAAUUUUUCCUAUUGAAAAUUAAUUUCUACCCCCUCAACCUUUGAGCAUUUAAACUUUAUUAAAAUUGAUAAUUAAGUA